This 1137-nucleotide ribosomal RNA is filed under the name uncultured bacterium. RNAcentral describes it as "bacterial SSU rRNA". It matches the Rfam family "Bacterial small subunit ribosomal RNA", at positions 8 to 1140 of the family's 1533-position model. The record is from RNAcentral.
AGAGUUUGAUCCUGGCUCAGAUUGAACGCUGGCGGCAGGCCUAACACAUGCAAGUCGAGCGGUAACAGGGGUAGCUUGCUACCCGCUGACGAGCGGCGGACGGGUGAGUAAUGCAUAGGAAUCUGCCCGAUAGUGGGGGAUAACCUGGGGAAACCCAGGCUAAUACCGCAUACGUCCUACGGGAGAAAGGGGGCUUUGGCUCCCGCUAUUGGAUGAGCCUAUGUCGGAUUAGCUAGUUGGUAAGGUAAUGGCUUACCAAGGCAACGAUCCGUAGCUGGUCUGAGAGGAUGAUCAGCCACAUCGGGACUGAGACACGGCCCGAACUCCUACGGGAGGCAGCAGUGGGGAAUAUUGGACAAUGGGGGCAACCCUGAUCCAGCCAUGCCGCGUGUGUGAAGAAGGCCCUCGGGUUGUAAAGCACUUUCAGCGAGGAAGAACGCCUGUCGGUUAAUACCCGGUAGGAAAGACAUCACUCGCAGAAGAAGCACCGGCUAACUCCGUGCCAGCAGCCGCGGUAAUACGGAGGGUGCAAGCGUUAAUCGGAAUUACUGGGCGUAAAGCGCGCGUAGGUGGCUUGAUAAGCCGGUUGUGAAAGCCCCGGGCUCAACCUGGGAACGGCAUCCGGAACUGUCAGGCUAGAGUGCAGGAGAGGAAGGUAGAAUUCCCGGUGUAGCGGUGAAAUGCGUAGAGAUCGGGAGGAAUACCAGUGGCGAAGGCGGCCUUCUGGACUGACACUGACACUGAGGUGCGAAAGCGUGGGUAGCAAACAGGAUUAGAUACCCUGGUAGUCCACGCCGUAAACGAUGUCGACCAGCCGUUGGGUGCCUAGAGCACUUUGUGGCGAAGUUAACGCGAUAAGUCGACCGCCUGGGGAGUACGGCCGCAAGGUUAAAACUCAAAUGAAUUGACGGGGGCCCGCACAAGCGGUGGAGCAUGUGGUUUAAUUCGAUGCAACGCGAAGAACCUUACCUACCCUUGACAUCUACAGAAGCCGGGAAGAGAUUCGGGUGUGCCUUUCGGGAACUGUAAGACAGGUGCUGCAUGCUGUCGUCAGCUCGUGUUGUGAAUGUGGAUAAGUCCCGUACGAGCGCAACCCCUGUUCCUUUAUUUGCCAGCCCGUAAUGGGUGGGGAAACUC